AGGAUGAACGCUGGCGGUAUGCUUUACACAUGCAAGUCGAACGCAAGUUUUUAACUUGAGUGGCGGACGGGUGAGUAACACGUGAGAAUUCGCCUUUAGGCGGGGAAUAACUAUGGGAAACCAUAGCUAAAUGCCCCAUAUGCUCGUAAGAGUGAAAGGAGAAAUCCACCCAAAGAGAAGCUCGCGGCUGAUUAGCUAGUUGGUAAGGUAAUGGCUUACCAAGGCGACGAUCAGUAGCUGGUUUGAGAGAACGAUCAGCCACACUGGAACUGAGACACGGUCCAGACUCCUACGGGAGGCAGCAGUGGGGAAUAUUGGACAAUGGGCGAAAGCCUGAUCCAGCAAUGCCGCGUGAGUGAUGAAGGCCUUAGGGUUGUAAAGCUCUUUUACCCGGGAUGAUAAUGACAGUACCGGGAGAAUAAGCUCCGGCUAACUCCGCGCCAGCAGCCGC
Molecule: ribosomal RNA, 451 nt
Filed under: uncultured bacterium
Lineage: Bacteria
Description: SSU rRNA
Rfam family: Bacterial small subunit ribosomal RNA
Source: RNAcentral